GUACUCCCUUCGGCAGCACAUAUACUAAAAUUGGAAUGAUACAGAGAAGAUUAGCAUGGUCCCUGUGCAAGGAUGACAUGGAAUGUUGGUGUGCAGACUCCUUAU
This 105-nucleotide small nuclear RNA is filed under the name Chinchilla lanigera (long-tailed chinchilla). Lineage: Eukaryota; Metazoa; Chordata; Mammalia; Rodentia; Chinchillidae. The record is from RNAcentral.